AUUGAACGCUGGCGGCAGGCCUAACACAUGCCAGUCGAGCGGAUGAAGGGAGCUUGCUCCUGGAUUCAGCGGCGGACGGGUGAGUAAUGCCUAGGAAUCUGCCUGGUAGUGGGGGAUAACGUCCGGAAACGGGCGCUAAUACCGCAUACGUCCUGAGGGAGAAAGUGGGGGAUCUUCGGACCUCACGCUAUCAGAUGAGCCUAGGUCGGAUUAGCUAGUUGGUGGGGUAAAGGCCUACCAAGGCGACGAUCCGUAACUGGUCUGAGAGGAUGAUCAGUCACACUGGAACUGAGACACGGUCCAGACUCCUACGGGAGGCAGCAGUGGGGAAUAUUGGACAAUGGGCGAAAGCCUGAUCCAGCCAUGCCGCGUGCGUGAAGAAGGUCUUCGGAUUGUAAAGCACUUUAAGUUGGGAGGAAGGGCAGUAAGUUAAUACCUUGCUGUUUUGACGUUACCAACAGAAUAAGCACCGGCUAACUUCGUG
This 484-nucleotide ribosomal RNA is filed under the name uncultured bacterium. Its description in RNAcentral is "partial 16S ribosomal RNA". It matches the Rfam family "Bacterial small subunit ribosomal RNA", at positions 30 to 507 of the family's 1533-position model. The record is from RNAcentral.